UACAGAGGCCCCGAGCAUUAUCCGGAAUCACUGGGCGUAAAGGGUGUGUAGGCGGCUAUGUUAGUCUUUUGUGAAAGAUCCCUGGCUUAACCAGGGAGACGCAGGGGAAACGGCAUAGCUUUUGAGGAUAUGAGAGGUAAAGGGAACUCAUGGUGUAGGGGUGAAAUCCGUUGAUAUCAUGGGGAACACCAAAUGCGAAGGCACUUUACUGGCAUACACCUGACGCUGAAACACGAAAGCGUGGGAAUCGAAUGGG
RNAcentral lists this ribosomal RNA (256 nucleotides) under uncultured bacterium. RNAcentral's name for it is "partial 16S ribosomal RNA". It matches the Rfam family "Bacterial small subunit ribosomal RNA", at positions 524 to 776 of the family's 1533-position model. The record is from RNAcentral.